Molecule: ribosomal RNA, 389 nt
Filed under: Alpheus platycheirus
Lineage: Eukaryota; Metazoa; Arthropoda; Malacostraca; Decapoda; Alpheidae
Description: partial 12S ribosomal RNA
Source: RNAcentral
UAUUAUACUUAGUUUAAAUUAAAUUUGAUCUUUGAGUAGUAAUCAGAUAUAAUCUCGAAACUCAAAGAAUUUGGCGGUAUCUAAGUCUAGUUAGAGGAAUUUGUACAGUAAACGAUAGUCCGCGAGUAUCUUGCCCUAUUUUGUAGUUAUUCAGUUUGUAUACCGCCAUUAUUAGAUAAUCUUUUUAGGGAGUUAUUAUAAUUAAGUAAGGUUAAAUAUAUUAGGUCAAGGUGCAGCUAAUAGUAGGGGUGUUAUGAAUUACAAUGGUAUAAGUGGUAAACGGAUUGAUUGAGGAAGGAGCAGUCUUUAAGGUGGAUUUAAUUGUAAGGGGUGUGAAUUAUGCGUGGUCUGAUAGGAGCUCUUGGAUAUGUACAUAUCGCCCGUCGCUA